Long non-coding RNA from Leucoraja erinaceus (little skate), 1897 nucleotides. RefSeq lists it as uncharacterized. The transcript has 3 exons. NCBI's taxonomy places the organism in Eukaryota, Metazoa, Chordata, Chondrichthyes, Rajiformes, Rajidae. The record is from RefSeq and is a predicted model, not a curated record.
CGCUGUAAGGCAUCAACUCUACAGCUGCACCACUGUGGCGCCCUAAAGGCGCAGUCAGUCUAUUUCAGUGUUGGAGGAGCAGUGGAAAAUUUCAAAAAGAUGCAAGCAGUUGGAUGAGUUGAGUGAUCAAAGUCGGCUAAUUGAGCAACUAACAAAUUGAGCUACCGAGCUACUGGCUUUUUUGGGAGAGAGGAUGUGUUGAGGUGAGGUGCUUUGUGAAGGUUCAGGCUCACAGGCUUCGGCAAGGGGGCUGAGCAGAGGGACAAGAGGCAAAGGAAAUCAGUCGGAGAUGGGACGGGACUGUUUAGUGACCAUCAAGGAAAGGACAGACCCUAGCUGAUAUCAGAAAUACGGUGUGGAUUUAACAGUGAAAGAAAUACCGUGGGAAUACAAGGUGGUGCGUUAAAAUGAUGAGGAACUUCAUACUCUACUACGGAUCAAGCACAGAUGAAUUAGUAACACGGAUGGAGGGGACUCGUGCCCACAAAAACUCGGGAGGUGAAGACUCAUCAGACGGGAAUCAUGAAGCUACGCCCACGAAAACUCGGGAAGCUUGAAGAAGUUCUGGGAAAAUACAUCAGCAUCUUGUUGUUAACGUUUGUUAGAAUGGAACAGUCACCAUUGUACACUAGUUAUCAAUGAUGAUAGGUUAUCAUAUGAUAAAAGGGGGGAAUGUAAACCUUAGUCAAAACAGAGCCAGAAUAGAGCCAAAAUUAAGCAGUGGCACUCCAAGGAAUUGUAAAUGCAUGAAUUUGAUUAGAUUGCUGCAAAGGGAUUGUAAAUAAUGUUGCAAGACAGUUACCCUGCUGUUUGUUGAUUGGCCAAAGUGUUAAGCACUAGCAGAAUUGCAUUGUGUUCCAGGGUAAAUGUUGCAUUGUUUAGUUGACUAGUUUCCUUCCAGAAGCUUCUGUAAGAAACAUUGUUUAAGGCUCUCUGUAAUUGGACUGUCAGUAAUGUACUGAUGUAAUUGAUAUCUUUGAUUGGAUUGUAAGGGGACCACCCCUAUGUAGUUCGGCCCCUCAAGGUUCGUGGACUUAUAAAUGGUAGCCCCAUUUUGGAUCGAUGUCGAUCUUCUGGAAGGGCGCUUGGGACUGUGUGACCUUUUGGGCAGUGUCUGCUUGCAGGAGGCUGAAGGACUUGGCCAGGCAGAGACAAGGAUCGAAACCGCGGUGGUUAGGGGAAUUUGUGUUUGUUCUAAAAAUAAAGAUUAGUUAGUCCAGUGCUUGAGUCAGUGUUUUUACAGAACCAGACUAGGGGGGUAAGCUUUAGGAGCGUAUUUACAGGGGCGCCAAACGAUUGGCAGCCUCGCCAACAGUCUGUUUGUUUUUUCAUCUUUUUUUCAAAAAAUAUUGUGUGUUUUAUAAGUCUGUGUACAUGUUCUCUGGUUUGUUUUAUGGGGGGGGGGGGGGCGAUUGCCGAAGGGAGCUGACAUCCCCCCGAUGCAGGAACUGGAUCGCCCCGACGUGGAGGGCCAAAACGCCGCCGGAUACGGGGGUCAAGAUUCUCCCGUCAACGGAGGGGUCGAGGCCCCCCGAUCGCAGGAGAGCAAAGGGAAGAGAUUGAACCUUUUUUUGCCUUCCAUCACAGUGAGGAAUGUGGAGGAAUCACUGUGCUGGAUGUAUAUGUUAAAAGGUGUUUUGUGUGUUCUUUUGCUUUUUUUUGUAUGACUGACUUGGCAAAUGAAAUUCUUCGUAUAUUGCAAAACAUACUUGGCUAAUAAAUUAUUAUUGCGAUUGUGAUUGUAAUAGCAAAGAGAUUGUCAAUGUUUUGGGUCAAGACUCUGCAUUAGGACCUGGAGACUUUGUGCUACCUUUGAACCAGAUCCCAUAAGCCAUCUUUAAAUGCCAGGUUUUAAAGCAUCUGCAGUCUCUUGUAUCACAAUAAAGUGGAAUAAAGC